This 468-nucleotide ribosomal RNA is filed under the name uncultured bacterium. RNAcentral's name for it is "partial 16S ribosomal RNA". It matches the Rfam family "Bacterial small subunit ribosomal RNA", at positions 28 to 507 of the family's 1533-position model. The record is from RNAcentral.
GACGAACGCUGGCGGCGCGCCUAACACAUGCAAGUCGAACGGAGCUGAGAGAAGCUUGCUUUUCUUAGCUUAGUGGCGAACGGGUGAGUAACGCGUGAGUAACCUGCCCUGGAGUGGGGGACAACAGUUGGAAACGACUGCUAAUACCGCAUAAGCCCACGAUCCGGCGUCGGAUUGAGGGAAAAGGAUUUAUUCGCUUCAGGAUGGACUCGCGUCCAAUUAGCUGGUUGGUGAGGUAACGGCCCACCAAGGCGACGAUUGGUAGCCGGACUGAGAGGUUGAACGGCCACAUUGGGACUGAGACACGGCCCAGACUCCUACGGGAGGCAGCAGUGGGGGAUAUUGCACAAUGGGGGAAACCCUGAUGCAGCGACGCCGCGUGGAGGAAGAAGGUUUUCGGAUUGUAAACUCCUGUCGUUAGGGACGAUAAUGACGGUACCUAACAAGAAAGCACCGGCUAACUACGUG